GUUCCGGUCCCGUCCCACCGGGAGGAGACCCCGGGGAAGACCUAGGACACGCUGGAGGGACUAUGUCUCCCGGCUGGCCUGGGAACGCCUCGGUGUCCCCCCGGAAGAGCUAGAGGAAGUGUCUGGGGAGAGGGAAGUCUGGGCAUCCCUGCUUAGACUGCCGCCCCCGCGACCCGGCCCCGGAUAAGCGGAAGAAGAUGGUAUGGUAUGGUAAUUUCAAUUUAUUUUUAAGGGCAAGAAGGCAGAGGUAGGGGGAAGUUUUAGCUCUGCACAUGAAGGUAAGAAUGUAAAUUUUGGUGGACACUGUGAUUUGAGUUCUGAUUGUAAAAUAACCAGAUAUUUAGGACUGAAUAAUUAACUGUCUGUUUUUACUUUCAGAACAUUUGGAGAAGAUCAAGUGGCUGACUGAAGAGAAGGUCGAGCUGAGGGCACAGCUGGCUCUACAAUCAGCUUCUGAUAAACGUCUGACUGAAAAGUAUGUCAAGCCGAGGGUAAAGCUUCUACAAUCAGAUUCUACAGGAGCCAUAAGAAAGAAUCUUUCCAGCCGGGAUGCCACUGAUGAGGCUGUCCAGAACCAGGUCCCCAGGUACCAGAAAGGGGCAGCUGACCGUGCAGGUGGGAGAUGACGUGGCAGUACAAUGGACCUGCCGUGAAUAUGAAUGACAUCUCCAACACAACCAAUAUUGCUGCUAAGCUGCAUUACUGUAUUAUUUUUUUUUAACUGCUGCUAUGUACAGUGUUAUAUAUAUGAUUGCAUUAUCCUCUUAAUAUAUUUAUAGCUCUGUGUGACUGUUCUUAAUUCUGACUGUAGUUGUAGUGUUAUGCCACCAUUCAUAAGCUUAUUGCACUGAUGUAUCUGUGAUAUUCAAUAACUAUCGAUUGCUGCUAGGUCAUACUUAUGUAUAUUACUG
Long non-coding RNA from Esox lucius (northern pike), 911 nucleotides. NCBI's taxonomy places the organism in Eukaryota, Metazoa, Chordata, Actinopteri, Esociformes, Esocidae. The record is from Ensembl.